CGCCAGCUAAGGUCCCAAAGUCAUGGUUAAGUGGGAAACGAUGUGGGAAGGCCCAGACAGCCAGGAUGUUGGCUUAGAAGCAGCCAUCAUUUAAAGAAAGCGUAAUAGCUCACUGGUCGAGUCGGCCUGCGCGGAAGAUGUAACGGGGCUAAACCAUGCACCGAAGCUGCGGCAGCGACGCUGAUGCGUUGUUGGGUAGGGGAGCGUUCUGUAAGCCUGCGAAGGUGACCUGUGAGGGUUGCUGGAGGUAUCAGAAGUGCGAAUGCUGACAUAAGUAACGAUAAAGCGGGUGAAAAGCCCGCUCGCCGGAAGACCAAGGGUUCCUGUCCAACGUUAAUCGGGGCAGGGUGAGUCGACCCCUAAGGCGAGGCCGAAAGGCGUAGUCGAUGGGAAACGGGUUAAUAUUCCCGUACUUGGUGUUACUGCGAAGGGGGGACGGAGAAGGCUAUGUUGGCCGGGCGACGGUUGUCCCGGUUUAAGCGUGUAGGUGUGUGUUCCAGGUAAAUCCGGUUCACUUUAACACUGAGGCGUGACGACGAGGCACUACGGUGCUGAAGCAACAAAUGCCCUGCUUCCAGGAAAAGCCUCUAAGCAUCAGGUAACAUCAAAUCGUACCCCAAACCGACACAGGUGGUCAGGUAGAGAAUACCAAGGCGCUUGAGAGAACUCGGGUGAAGGAACUAGGCAAAAUGGUGCCGUAACUUCGGGAGAAGGCACGCUGACACGUAGGUGAAGUGAUUUACUCAUGGAGCUGAAGUCAGUCGAAGAUACCAGCUGGCUGCAACUGUUUAUUAAAAACACAGCACUGUGCAAACACGAAAGUGGACGUAUACGGUGUGACGCCUGCCCGGUGCCGGAAGGUUAAUUGAUGGGGUCAGCGUAAGCGAAGCUCCUGAUCGAAGCCCCGGUAAACGGCGGCCGUAACUAUAACGGUCCUAAGGUAGCGAAAUUCCUUGUCGGGUAAGUUCCGACCUGCACGAAUGGCGUAAUGAUGGCCAGGCUGUCUCCACCCGAGACUCAGUGAAAUUGAACUCGCUGUGAAGAUGCAGUGUACCCGCGGCAAGACGGAAAGACCCCGUGAACCUUUACUAUAGCUUGACACUGAACAUUGAGCCUUGAUGUGUAGGAUAGGUGGGAGGCUUUGAAGUGUGGACGCCAGUCUGCAUGGAGCCGACCUUGAAAUACCACCCUUUAAUGUUUGAUGUUCUAACGUGGACCCGUUACCCGGGUUGCGGACAGUGUCUGGUGGGUAGUUUGACUGGGGCGGUCUCCUCCUAAAGAGUAACGGAGGAGCACGAAGGUUGGCUAAUCCUGGUCGGACAUCAGGAGGUUAGUGCAAUGGCAUAAGCCAGCUUGACUGCGAGCGUGACGGCGCGAGCAGGUGCGAAAGCAGGUCAUAGUGA
RNAcentral lists this ribosomal RNA (1403 nucleotides) under Salmonella enterica subsp. enterica serovar Typhimurium. Its description in RNAcentral is "bacterial LSU rRNA". It matches the Rfam family "Bacterial large subunit ribosomal RNA", at positions 1033 to 2418 of the family's 2925-position model. Lineage: Bacteria; Pseudomonadati; Pseudomonadota; Gammaproteobacteria; Enterobacterales; Enterobacteriaceae. The record is from RNAcentral.